This 492-nucleotide ribosomal RNA is filed under the name uncultured bacterium. RNAcentral describes it as "partial 16S ribosomal RNA". It matches the Rfam family "Bacterial small subunit ribosomal RNA", at positions 29 to 507 of the family's 1533-position model. The record is from RNAcentral.
AGUGAGCGUUGGCGGUAGGCCUAACACAUGCAAGUCGAACGGCAGCACAGUAAGAGCUUGCUCUUACGGGUGGCGAGUGGCGGACGGGUGAGGAAUACAUCGGAAUCUACUUUUUCGUGGGGGAUAACGUAGGGAAACUUACGCUAAUACCGCAUACGACCUACGGGUGAAAGCAGGGGAUCUUCGGACCUUGCGCGAUUGAAUGAGCCGAUGUCGGAUUAGCUAGUUGGCGGGGUAAAGGCCCACCAAGGCGACGAUCCGUAGCUGGUCUGAGAGGAUGAUCAGCCACACUGGAACUGAGACACGGUCCAGACUCCUACGGGAGGCAGCAGUGGGGAAUAUUGGACAAUGGGCGCAAGCCUGAUCCAGCCAUACCGCGUGGGUGAAGAAGGCCUUCGGGUUGUAAAGCCCUUUUGCUGGGAAAGAAAAGCAGCAGGUUAAUACCCCGCUGUUCUGACGGUACCCAAAGAAUAAGCACCGGCUAACUUCGUG